GAUGAACGCUGGCGGCGUGCCUAACACAUGCAAGUCGAGCGGCAGCGAGGGGUGCUUGCACCCUGUCGGCGAGCGGCGGACGGCUGAGUAACGCGUGGGAACGUGCCCCAAAGUGAGGAAUAACUGCCCGAAAGGGUAGCUAAUACCGCAUAUUAUCUUCGGAUCAAAGGAUUUAUCCGCUUUGGGAGCGGCUCGCGUCGGAUUAGGUAGUUGGUGAGGUAAUGGCUCACCAAGCCGACGAUCCGUAGCUGGUCUGAGAGGAUGACCAGCCAGACUGGAACUGAGACACGGUCCAGACUCCUACGGGAGGCAGCAGUGAGGAAUCUUCCACAAUGGGCGAAAGCCUGAUGCAGCAACGCCGCGUGCAGGACGAAGGCCUUCGGGUUGUAAACUGCUUUUAUAAGUGAGGAAUAUGACGGUAACUUAUGAAUAAGGAUCGGCUAACUACGUG
Molecule: ribosomal RNA, 451 nt
Filed under: uncultured bacterium
Lineage: Bacteria
Description: partial 16S ribosomal RNA
Rfam family: Bacterial small subunit ribosomal RNA
Source: RNAcentral